UUUUGAUUGUUGCUCAGAAAGCCAUCGAUCAGGCAAAGGCUUUCGGGAAACAGUCAAGCCG
RNAcentral lists this microRNA precursor (61 nucleotides) under Ptychodera flava. RNAcentral's name for it is "Pfl-Mir-315_pre stem-loop". Lineage: Eukaryota; Metazoa; Hemichordata; Enteropneusta; Ptychoderidae. The record is from RNAcentral.